AGAAAUACGUCGCAGCAUCCCCCAGCUGCGAGUCGGAGAUCUCCAGGCUGAAGGACUUAGCUGCUUUCUGGAAGUUCACAGAGAAGCGGUUUAACGUUGCAUUAUACUGCUUGUAUGCUUCUUGGAGAAUGACGAGAGUCACCUGCCCUCCUUGCUGUUUGUACCAGAACAAGAGCCACCCUCAUCAUCUUUUAUUGAUGCCAAUUGACAAAACCUGGAUCUGCCCACUACACAUCUAUUUAUACAGCUACUUCUUCCAUGUCUGCACAGAUGCUGAGAUCUGAGGUUUCUGUUAGACCCUCUCUGUUGCCUGCGUCACUGUGGCUCCCCCUGAGUGCACAGAAAUACGUCGCAGCAUCCCCCAGCUGCGAGUCGGAGAUCUCCAGGCUGAAGGACUUAGCUGCUUUCUGGAAGUUCACAGAGAAGCGGUUUAACGUUGCAUUAUACUGCUUGUAUGCUUCUUGGAGAAUGACGAGAGUCACCUGCCCUCCUUGCUGUUUGUACCAGAACAAGAGGUUGAAGUCUCUUGCUCUGAUCAUUGUCUUCUAUGUGUGCUGGCAGUUCUUCAAAGCAGGAAAGCUUUCACAGGAAAACUGAAGUAAGUACUCUUGAAACCCAGAUGAACAGGUAAGUUCUUGGGCCUCUCUCAAUGGGGUUUAGGUAAAGGCUGCAGGUGCCUGAGGGUCACCGUGUGCUCAGUUCAUAGAACAGAGUUGAGUCUUGGAGCUUGGAAUCCUUUGUGAGCAGGGAAAAGAGCUGGCCUCCUAGAAACAGCCUGCUUGUGAAUCUUCUACUGAUCUUCUCUUUAACCGCUGGAAACAUCACCUCAAGGUGAUGAGGCUCCCCUCGGGAUCCUGUCCAGACCACCUGAAGACAUUGGAAGCUCUGUCUUGGUAACUACAGCUCACUGUGAAGUCUUUACCUUCCUUAUCUAUCAGGGAAGUAUCUGUUCUACCAGUGCCUGUCCAUUUGACCCUGCUUAAGGAAAAACAAAGAGACUUUCAUUCAUAAAAAUGCUUUAGUAUUCAUGUCUAGAAUUUUCCUUAUUUGUCCUAUAUCUCUUAGAAUAAUCUCUUUGUUGUCCUGAUUCCCUGUAUUUCAUUGCCAGGGCACACGUGUGCUUCUUCCACUGUCCUACCCACAGGUCAGCUGCACACAGAGGAGGAACACUGAAGCCAUCAUUAAAGCAAGACUCAUUCUUUCUUCUUCCCAAACCUCAGAGGAUGUCCUGGGCACCCACCACUGACCGUGUUCAGUAGCCCAACUAGUUGUUCUAGCUUUGAAUCUGUGUGCUUGCAUCUUGUUUUCAUAGCGAUGAAAACCUUCCUGUCAUGUGAUACAGUGCCUGCCUUCCCUCUGCUGACUCUUCCACUUUCUAGUUGUCAGCAGAUAGUUCUGUCACACGGUAGAAAAUUUAAAUGAAAACCCUCUGUUUUUUGUUUUCCUUUAAUCUGAGGUAACUGAAUACAUUACAUUAAAGGAAGAUAGAACAGAAAUGCAAAGCAAACAAAGGAGAGAAAUCCACGCGAUGUCAAUGCUAUUGUAUUAAUGGUAAUUGUCUGGGAAGGUGAACAGUUUCCUGUGUUCCUGCAGAACAAUUUGGAGUAAAAUCUGUUAUUGUAUUGUA
This 1627-nucleotide long non-coding RNA is filed under the name Mus musculus (house mouse). RNAcentral describes it as "predicted gene 43647". Lineage: Eukaryota; Metazoa; Chordata; Mammalia; Rodentia; Muridae. The record is from RNAcentral.